CCCUGAUGGUUGUGAGCACAAACUGAUCGUAGUGUUCUUCUGAUCUCGUUGAUUUCAACAAUUAAGGGAUAACAUAGCAUCUCUCUCCACUGUGAUUUCAGCAUCCAGGAAACUUCCAUUGGACUUUGGAAGAUGUUUCCAAAUCAAUUGUUUACAUAAUGUCUAGCCCAUGCCAAGCUGGCUAUACACAGAUGCUCAAUGAUUGGUAUGAUAGAGAGAUUGAUGCUAUUAAUGAACCUUAUCGUCCUAUUCCUUCAGGGGAAAUAUCUGAGAAUGAGGAAACAAGUCUUUUAAAAUUCUUUCCCUCAGGUGAUUACCCAAAUCUGGGUACUGCUUUUGGGAGGCCUUGGGUUGGCUGGUUUAUUGGAUGCGUGGGCAGGGCAGGGUAGGGCAUUGCUUUAGGUAGAUCCUUUCAGCUCAACCUUUGAAGGUAACUCCACUAACAAGACCGGGCAUGCAAGUCUAGUGAGCAUCAAGUAGCACAGCAGGUGACUGCUUGUGCGCAUUCUACCACAUUAACAGCACACCUACAAUGGUGGAUUGAUACGUAUACUGAAAUUUUCAAGAACCCUCUACCCUUAUAGCAGUUUAUCAGCAGUUUGAUCUUGUGAUAUUUAAGGAGUGAUGGGGUUUUUUGUUUUUUUGGUAAGAAGAGUGGUUAAAUGUUUAAUUGUUAGUAAUUGCUUUUU
Non-coding RNA from Camellia sinensis, 689 nucleotides. The record is from RefSeq and is a predicted model, not a curated record. NCBI's taxonomy places the organism in Eukaryota, Viridiplantae, Streptophyta, Magnoliopsida, Ericales, Theaceae.